CCUACGGGAGGCAGCAGUGGGGAAUAUUGCACAAUGGGGGAAACCCUGAUGCAGCGACGCCGCGUGAGCGAAGAAGUAUUUCGGUAUGUAAAGCUCUAUCAGCAGGGAAGAAAAUGACGGUACCUGAGUAAGAAGCUCCGGCUAAAUACGUGCCAGCUGCCGCGGUAAUACGUAUGGAGCAAGCGUUAUCCGGAUGUACUGGGCGUAAGGGGAGCGUAGGCGGCCUGCCAAGUCUGAUGUGAAAUACCUGGGCUCAACCCCGGGGCUUCAGUGGAAACUGGCUGGCUGGAGUGCUGGAGAGGCAGGCGGAAUGCGCAGUGUAGCGGUGAAAUGCGUAGAUAUUAGGCGGAACACCAGUGGCGAAGGCGGCAUGCUGGAGGGUGUCUGACGCUGAGGCUCGAAAGCGUGGGUAGCGAACAGGAUUAGAUACCCCAGUAGUC
This 440-nucleotide ribosomal RNA is filed under the name uncultured bacterium. RNAcentral's name for it is "partial 16S ribosomal RNA". It matches the Rfam family "Bacterial small subunit ribosomal RNA", at positions 338 to 795 of the family's 1533-position model. The record is from RNAcentral.